This 53-nucleotide ribosomal RNA is filed under the name Astragalus linifolius. RNAcentral's name for it is "partial 26S ribosomal RNA". Lineage: Eukaryota; Viridiplantae; Streptophyta; Magnoliopsida; Fabales; Fabaceae. The record is from RNAcentral.
CGAGACCUCAGGUCAGGCGGGGCUACCCGCUGAAUUUAAGCAUAUCAAUAAGC